Molecule: long non-coding RNA, 327 nt
Organism: Physeter macrocephalus (sperm whale)
Lineage: Eukaryota; Metazoa; Chordata; Mammalia; Artiodactyla; Physeteridae
Exons: 3
Source: RefSeq, a predicted model, not a curated record
UAUGAGCUGACAAGCUAAGAGAUCCUGUCAUGAAUGACUACUGUUUUUGACUGUCCAGGCUUCAUUUACCCUCUUCUGGUUAGAAACAGGCUCAGGGAGAUUUGGGCUGUGCCUGGGUUCCACAACCAGCAAGUGACUGAGACAUCGCUUCAUCCAGUUCUUCUGACUUUAAACCCUUCUGCUCUCUCAAGUGUCGGGUGCCGGCCACAGGAUCUUAGUUCCCCGACCAGGGAUGGAACUCAUGCCCCCUGCAGUGGAAGCAUGGAGUCUUAACCACUGGACUGCCAGGGAAUUCCCCAGAAUCUGCUUUUUACCAAGACUCCUCCC